GAUGAAGAACGCAGCGAAAUGCGAUAAGUAAUGUGAAUUGCAGAAUUCAGUGAAUCAUCGAAUCUUUGAACGCACAUUGCGCCCGCCAGCAUUCUGGCGGGCAUGCCUGUUCGAGCGUCAUUUCAACCCUCGAGCCCCCCCGGGGGCCUCGGUGUUGGGGGACGGCACACCAGCCGCCCCCGAAAUGCAGUGGCGACCUCGCCGCAGCCUCCCCUGCGUAGUAGCACACACCUCGCACCGGAGCGCGGAGACGGUCACGACGUAAAACGCCCAACUUCUUAGAGUUGACCUCGGAUCAGGUAGGAAUACCCGCUGAACUUAAGCAUAUCAAUAAGCGGAGGA
This 342-nucleotide unclassified non-coding RNA is filed under the name soil metagenome. RNAcentral describes it as "partial contains 5.8S ribosomal RNA, internal transcribed spacer 2, and large subunit ribosomal RNA". The stretch from base 1 to 120 matches the Rfam family "5.8S ribosomal RNA", at positions 35 to 154 of the family's 154-position model. The record is from RNAcentral.